This 279-nucleotide ribosomal RNA is filed under the name uncultured bacterium. Its description in RNAcentral is "partial 16S ribosomal RNA". It matches the Rfam family "Bacterial small subunit ribosomal RNA", at positions 506 to 784 of the family's 1533-position model. The record is from RNAcentral.
UGCCAGCCGCCGCGGUAAUACGGAGGGUGCAAGCGUUGUUCGGAAUUACUGGGCGUAAAGCGCGCGUAGGCGGCUAUAUAAGUCAGAUGUGAAAGCCCGCGGCUCAACCGUGGAAGUGCAUUUGAAACUGUAUAGCUUGAGUACUGGAGGGGGUAGUGGAAUUCCCGGUGUAGAGGUGAAAUUCGUAGAUAUCGGGAGGAAUACCGAUGGCGAAGGCAUCUCUCUGGGUCGAUAUUGACGCUGAGGCGCGAAGGCGUGGGUAGCGAACGGGAUUAGAUA